UCCCCUCACUCUGGGCAUCGGUGCCCUU
RNAcentral lists this non-coding RNA (28 nucleotides) under Homo sapiens (human). Lineage: Eukaryota; Metazoa; Chordata; Mammalia; Primates; Hominidae. The record is from RNAcentral.